GCCAGCAUAGCUCAGCGGUAGAGCGUCCGUUUCAUAAGCGGGUGGUCAGAGGUUCGAGUCCUCUUGCUGGCA
This 72-nucleotide transfer RNA is filed under the name Microgenomates group bacterium. RNAcentral's name for it is "tRNA-Met". It matches the Rfam family "tRNA". Rfam says of the family: Transfer RNA (tRNA) molecules are approximately 80 nucleotides in length. The record is from RNAcentral.